RNAcentral lists this non-coding RNA (997 nucleotides) under Nocardiopsis flavescens. RNAcentral describes it as "Nocardiopsis sp. SA6 Bacterial large subunit ribosomal RNA". It matches the Rfam family "Bacterial large subunit ribosomal RNA", at positions 1 to 952 of the family's 2925-position model. The record is from Rfam by way of RNAcentral. Lineage: Bacteria; Bacillati; Actinomycetota; Actinomycetes; Streptosporangiales; Nocardiopsidaceae.
UGGCCAAGUGAUAGUGGCAUACGGUGGAUGCCUUGGCACCAGGCGCCGAUGAAGGACGUGGGAGGCCGCGAUAGGCCACGGGGAGCUGUCAACCGAGCUUUGAUCCGUGGGUGUCCGAAUGGGGAAACCUAGCCCGAGUUGUAUCGGGUUGCCGCCGCCUGAAUGUAUAGGGUGGUUGGUGGUGACGCGGGGAAGUGAAACAUCUCAGUACCCGUAGGAAGAGUAAACAACAGUGAUUCUCCUAGUAGUGGUGAGCGAACGGGGAAGAGGCUAAACCGUGCGCGUGUGAUAGACGGCAGUCGUUGCGUGUGCGGGGUUGUGGGGCGUGUCUUUUCGGGUCUGCCGAUCCGGAGCAUGUUGGGCAGAGCUAGCUGAAUCCGUUGGGAAGCGGUACCGGAGUGGGUGAGAGUCCCGUAGGUGAAGGUUCUGUUCUAGUGUUGACGCUGUCCCCGAGUAGCGCGGAGCCCGAGGAAUUCCGUGUGAAUCUGGCAGGACCACCUGCUAAGCCAAAAUACGUCCUGGUGACCGAUAGUGCACUAGUACCGUGAGGGAAAGGUGAAAAGUGCCCCGGUGAGGGGUCGUGAAAUAGUACCUGAAACCGUGUGCUGUCAAGCCGUCAGAGCUGCCCUUCGGGGUUGUGAUGGCGUGCCUUUUGAAGAAUGAGCCUGCGAGUCAUGGUGUGUGGCGAGGUUAACCCGGGUGGGGUAGCCGUAGGGAAACCGAGUCUGAAUAGGGCGUUGGAGUCGCAUGCUGUGGACCCGAAGCGGAGUGAUCUACCCAUGUCCAGGGUGAAGCGGGGGUAAGACCUCGUGGAGGCCCGAACCCACCAGGGUUGAAAACCUGGGGGAUGAGGUGUGGGUAGGGGUGAAAGGCCAAUCAAACUCCGUGAUAGCUGGUUCUCCCCGAAAUGCAUUUAGGUGCAGCGUUGCGUGUUUCUUGCCGGAGGUAGAGCGACUGUUUGGCUGAUGGGCCCGACAAGGUUACUGACGUCAGACAA